RNAcentral lists this ribosomal RNA (490 nucleotides) under uncultured bacterium. Its description in RNAcentral is "partial 16S ribosomal RNA". It matches the Rfam family "Bacterial small subunit ribosomal RNA", at positions 30 to 507 of the family's 1533-position model. The record is from RNAcentral.
AUUGAACGCUGGCGGCAGGCCUAACACAUGCAAGUCGAACGGUAACAGGAAACAGCUUGCUGUUUCGCUGACGAGUGGCGGACGGGUGAGUAAUGUCUGGGAAACUGCCUGAUGGAGGGGGAUAACUACUGGAAACGGUAGCUAAUACCGCAUAACGUCGCAAGACCAAAGAGGGGGACCUUCGGGCCUCUUGCCAUCGGAUGUUCCCAGAUGGGAUUAGCUAGUAGGUGGGGUAACGGCUCACCUAGGCGACGAUCCCUAGCUGGUCUGAGAGGAUGACCAGCCACACUGGAACUGAGACACGGUCCAGACUCCUACGGGAGGCAGCAGUGGGGAAUAUUGCACAAUGGGCGCAAGCCUGAUGCAGCCAUGCCGCGUGUAUGAAGAAGGCCUUCGGGUUGUAAAGUACUUUCAGCGGGGAGGAAGGGAGUAAAGUUAAUACCUUUGCUCAUUGACGUUACCCGAAGAAGAAGCACCGGCUAACUACGUG